GCCCUUAUGGGCUGGGCUACACACGUGCUACAAUGGCGGUGACAGAGGGGAGCGAGACCGCGAGGUGGAGCCAAUCCCCAAAAACCGUCUCAGUUCGGAUUGUACUCUGCAACUCGAGUGCAUGAAGGCGGAAUCGCUAGUAAUCGCGGAUCAGCAUGCCGCGGUGAAUACGUUCCCGGGCCUUGUACACACCGCCCGUCACACCAUGGGAGUUGGCUUUACCCGAAGACGGUGCGCCAACCGCAAGGGGGCAGCCGGCCACGGUAAGGUCAGCGACUGGGGUGAAGUCGUAACAAGGUAGCCGUAGGGG
Molecule: ribosomal RNA, 310 nt
Filed under: uncultured alveolate
Lineage: Eukaryota
Description: partial Bacterial small subunit ribosomal RNA
Rfam family: Bacterial small subunit ribosomal RNA
Source: RNAcentral